AAGAGAGGUGGGUUUGACUGACCUGGUUUAGCUGUCUAAUUUCAGGAGAGAGUCCAUGGCUAACGAUCCGGAGUGGAGGGAUGUUCCUAUCUUUGGUCCAUCAGUCAGGUGCACAUGGGCAGCCAGUUUUUGGAAAGUUUGUGUUGCUCUAUUUGCUAACAUGACUCAUGGAUGCAGUACCCUUAAGUCUCAACCAGUUGUGCCAUAUGAAGAGAACCUUUACUGCCCACAACCUGCAUAGAUCCAAAAGUGGUCAAAAGAACAAAGAAAGACACUCAAUUCUAUUCACAGCCUGGGAUUGCCAAAAUAGGUUGCUUCAUUCAGGAAGCUAAUUGGAUAACUCAAGUUCCCAAGGUUAAAUUGAAUAGACAACAUUAAGGGUCUCAUUCUGCAGGCAACAGGACUUUUUCUAAGUAAGGACUGAGUGAAGACUGCAGGACUGGACCAUAAAUCUGUUGGAUCACAAAACUGAUAAGUUCAGUACCAGCACAGACAGUGCACAGAAAAGAGUGGAGGCUGUGGAAAAGCAAAGCAUGCUCUUUGGAUAAGAAAGGUGCGCAAACCCAGGGAUUCCUUUACAAAACUCAAGGAAAACAGCAUAAUUUAAAAAAGAACCUGAACAGAUGGACAAGUAAAAAAAUUGGGCUUUCAGUUAAUAUUUAAUAUAACUAAUCAACUGUUGAAAUAGCCAGAUUUUUAUUUGUUUUUUAAAUUAUUUUACUAUUUUUUUGAGUUCAUACUUUGGAAUAUGUUACCAAGUUUAAAUGAGGAGUGAAAUUUAUAGUUUCCUGACAUUAAAGAGUCUCUAAAGGAAUGGCUAGCACAGCCAUAAUUAUAAUGGUUCUAACA
Long non-coding RNA from Chelonia mydas (Green sea turtle), 849 nucleotides. RefSeq lists it as uncharacterized. NCBI's taxonomy places the organism in Eukaryota, Metazoa, Chordata, Testudines, Cheloniidae. The record is from RefSeq and is a predicted model, not a curated record. The transcript has 3 exons.